GGAAUCUUGGGCAAUGGGCGAAAGCCUGACCCAGCGACGCCGCGUGGAGGACGCAGGCCUUCGGGUCGUAAACUCCUGUUCUUGGGGACGAGAAUGACGGUACCCAAGGAGAAAGCCCCGGCUAACUCCGUGCCAGCAGCCGCGGUAAUACGGGGGGGGCAAGCGUUGUUCGGAAUUACUGGGCGUAAAGGGUGUGUAGGCGGUCUAGGAAGUCUGAGGUGAAAGUCCCCGGCUCAACCGGGGGAGGACCUCAGAAACCCGGAGACUGGAGAGCUAGAGAGGGAAGCGGAAUUCCCGGUGGAGCGGUGAAAUGCGUAGAUAUCGGGAGGAACAUCGGAGGCGAAGGCGGCUUCCUGGACAGCAUCUGACGCUGAGGCACGAAAGCUAGGGGAGCGAAC
RNAcentral lists this ribosomal RNA (398 nucleotides) under uncultured bacterium. RNAcentral's name for it is "bacterial SSU rRNA". It matches the Rfam family "Bacterial small subunit ribosomal RNA", at positions 358 to 773 of the family's 1533-position model. The record is from RNAcentral.